Non-coding RNA from Ciona intestinalis (vase tunicate), 584 nucleotides. The record is from RefSeq and is a predicted model, not a curated record. NCBI's taxonomy places the organism in Eukaryota, Metazoa, Chordata, Ascidiacea, Phlebobranchia, Cionidae.
AUAUUAAAUGUUUUUUUUUAGGUGGUAGAUUGUGAAACAGGAAACAAUUUGGGGCCAGGACAGUAUGGAGAAUUAUGUUUCAAAGGACCUCAGGUAAUUUUAAAGGGAUAUCUUGGAAACAAAGAAGCGAACAAAGCUUUGUUCGAUGACGACAAAUGGUUAAAGACAGGAGACUAUGGUUGUUAUGACAACGAAGGCAAUGUUUACGUCAGAGGGCGCAUUAAGCAUCUCAUUAAAUACAAUGGAAUUGUGGUUAUCCCUGCAGAGCUUGAGUUUGAGCUUCAUAAACACUCACAAAUCGCUGACGUUGCUGUUAUAGGGGUCCCCGGUGUAGUGGGGUACCAGGGGGAAGUCCCAAAAGCGUUCAUAGUGGCUCACAUUGGGAGUAACUUAAAUGAAGAUGACGUGCACAAGUAUAUGAAAGGUCGAUUCCCUGACUACAAACAACUACACGGAGGAGUUGAAUUCCUGAAGUGCUUACCGAAAUCCUCUGGUGGAAAAAUUAUGAGACAAAAACUAAAAAUGCUUUAAAUCAUUAUCAAGCAUAGGUAACUUUACGUUGCAAUACAUCAUAGAGACAUAAA